CUACAAUUUUUAAACUCUCACUUACACUAUUAAGUUCAGAUGUACAGUUGUGGAUUCUGACCAGAAUCACUAAUCUUCUCUGUCCUGAAGACUGGGCAGGAGUGAUGUUGAAGUGUAUCAGGGCUAUUAUCCUGUAUCUCUGCCUCUUUCCUAACUCAUCACGGCCUGAAAAGAUGUGGUUUUGGAAGCCAAAAGAGCACAGGUUAGAGUAAUUGGUU
Molecule: long non-coding RNA, 218 nt
Filed under: Fukomys damarensis (Damara mole-rat)
Lineage: Eukaryota; Metazoa; Chordata; Mammalia; Rodentia; Bathyergidae
Description: lncRNA (ENSFDAG00000033369.1)
Source: RNAcentral